Long non-coding RNA from Oryzias melastigma (Indian medaka), 157 nucleotides. RefSeq lists it as uncharacterized. The transcript has 2 exons. NCBI's taxonomy places the organism in Eukaryota, Metazoa, Chordata, Actinopteri, Beloniformes, Adrianichthyidae. The record is from RefSeq and is a predicted model, not a curated record.
CUGCUUUCCUGAUCUUCUAUUCAGGCUCUCUGUUUCCACUUUGGAGAUUUUCCACCCUCAGACGUAACCAGAUCCAUCUUCUGAAUCAACUACAAGACAAUACAAUGAGGUUAUUUUGUUGAACAUGUAAAAGUAAAUAAAGUUCUGUUUAAAUCUA